This 102-nucleotide non-coding RNA is filed under the name Bacillus coahuilensis. RNAcentral describes it as "Guanine sequence". It matches the Rfam family "Purine riboswitch aptamer". From Rfam's summary of the family: Riboswitches are metabolite binding domains within certain messenger RNAs that serve as precision sensors for their corresponding targets. Allosteric rearrangement of mRNA structure is mediated by ligand binding, and this results in modulation of gene expression. Lineage: Bacteria; Bacillati; Bacillota; Bacilli; Caryophanales; Bacillaceae. RNAcentral also lists the same sequence under 1 other name. The record is from RNAcentral.
ACUUACUAAUAAGAAACACGUCGUAUAAUAUCGGGAAUAUGGCCCGAAAGUUUCUACCGAGCUACCGUAAAUGGCUUGACUACGAGGUAUUGGAUAUAAGUG